RNAcentral lists this ribosomal RNA (501 nucleotides) under uncultured bacterium. Its description in RNAcentral is "partial 16S ribosomal RNA". The record is from RNAcentral.
GUAGUUAGCCGGGGCUUUCUUACAGGGUACCGUCACUUCUUCGUCCCCUGCGACAGAGGUUUACAAUCCGAAAACCUUCUUCCCUCACGCGGCGUUGCUGGGUCAGGCUUGCGCCCAUUGCCCAAUAUUCCCCACUGCUGCCUCCCGUAGGAGUCUGGACCGUGUCUCAGUUCCAGUGUGGCCGAUCAGCCUCUCAGCUCGGCUACCCAUCGUCGGCUUGGUGGGCUGUUAUCUCACCAACUACCUAAUGGGACGCGAACCCCUCUAAAAGCGAUAAAUCUUUGACCUCUUCCCGAUGCCGGGUUGUGGUCUUAUGCGGUAUUAGCAGUUGUUUCCACCUGUUAUUCCCCACUCUUAGGCAGGUUGUUCACGCGUUACUCACCCGUGCGCCACUAGAAUUAUCAAUUCCAUCCGAAAACUUCCUUAAAUAAUCCCCGUUCGACUUGCAUGUGUUAGGCACGCCGCCAGCGUUCGUCCUGAGCCAGAAUCGAAACCUCUAGA